AUGCACGCUGGCGGCGUGCUUAACACAUGCCAGUCGCACGAUGAACCUCACUUGUGGGGGGAUUAGUGGCGAACGGGUGAGUAACACGUGAGUAACCUGCCCUUGACUCUGGGAUAAGCCUGGGAAACCGGGUCUAAUACUGGAUACGACCUUCUGGCGCAUGCCAUGUUGGUGGAAAGCUUUUGUGGUUUUGGAUGGACUCGCGGCCUAUCAGCUUGUUGGUGGGGUAAUGGCCUACCAAGGCGACGACGGGUAGCCGGCCUGAGAGGGUGACCGGCCACACUGGGACUGAGACACGGCCCAGACUCCUACGGGAGGCAGCAGUGGGGAAAAUUGCACAAUGGGCGCAAGCCUGAUGCAGCGACGCCGCGUGAGGGAUGAAGGCCUGCGGGGUGUAAACCUCUUUCAGUAGGGAAGAAGCCGGCUUUUGGGUUGGUGACGGUACCUGCAGAAGAAGCGCCGGCUAACUACGUG
This 474-nucleotide ribosomal RNA is filed under the name uncultured bacterium. RNAcentral describes it as "partial 16S ribosomal RNA". It matches the Rfam family "Bacterial small subunit ribosomal RNA", at positions 29 to 507 of the family's 1533-position model. The record is from RNAcentral.